GCGGCGUGCCUAAUACAUGCAAGUCGAGCGGACAGAUGGGAGCUUGCUCCCUGAUGUUAGCGGCGGACGGGUGAGUAACACGUGGGUAACCUGCCUGUAAGACUGGGAUAACUCCGGGAAACCGGGGCUAAUACCGGAUGCUUGUUUGAACCGCAUGGUUCAAACAUAAAAGGUGGCUUCGGCUACCACUUACAGAUGGACCCGCGGCGCAUUAGCUAGUUGGUGAGGUAAUGGCUCACCAAGGCAACGAUGCGUAGCCGACCUGAGAGGGUGAUCGGCCACACUGGGACUGAGACACGGCCCAGACUCCUACGGGAGGCAGCAGUAGGGAAUCUUCCGCAAUGGACGAAAGUCUGACGGAGCAACGCCGCGUGAGUGAUGAAGGUUUUCGGAUCGUAAAGCUCUGUUGUUAGGGAAGAACAAGUACCGUUCGAAUAGGGCGGUACCUUGACGGUACCUAACCAGAAAGCCACGGCUAACUACGUGCCAGCAGCCGCGGUAAUACGUAGGUGGCAAGCGUUGUCCGGAAUUAUUGGGCGUAAAGGGCUCGCAGGCGGUUCCUUAAGUCUGAUGUGAAAGCCCCCGGCUCAACCGGGGAGGGUCAUUGGAAACUGGGGAACUUGAGUGCAGAAGAGGAGAGUGGAAUUCCACGUGUAGCGGUGAAAUGCGUAGAGAUGUGGAGGAACACCAGUGGCGAAGGCGACUCUCUGGUCUGUAACUGACGCUGAGGAGCGAAAGCGUGGGGAGCGAACAGGAUUAGAUACCCUGGUAGUCCACGCCGUAAACGAUGAGUGCUAAGUGUUA
RNAcentral lists this ribosomal RNA (804 nucleotides) under Bacillus subtilis. Its description in RNAcentral is "bacterial SSU rRNA". It matches the Rfam family "Bacterial small subunit ribosomal RNA", at positions 39 to 825 of the family's 1533-position model. Lineage: Bacteria; Bacillati; Bacillota; Bacilli; Caryophanales; Bacillaceae. The record is from RNAcentral.